This 264-nucleotide ribosomal RNA is filed under the name uncultured bacterium. RNAcentral describes it as "partial 16S ribosomal RNA". It matches the Rfam family "Bacterial small subunit ribosomal RNA", at positions 793 to 1055 of the family's 1533-position model. The record is from RNAcentral.
GUCCACGCCCUAAACUAUGUCAACUGGUUGUCGUGGAAGCAAUUCCUUGGUAACGAAGCUAACGCGUGAAGUUGACCGCCUGGGGAGUACGGCCGCAAGGUUAAAACUCAAAGGAAUUGACGGGGACCCGCACAAGCGGUGGAUUAUGUGGAUUAAUUCGAUGCAACGCGAAAAACCUUACCUACCCUUGACAUGUACGGAAUCCCCCAGAGAUGGGGGAGUGCCCGAAAGGGAACCGUAACACAGGUGCUGCAUGGCUGUCGU